CAGGCAUGAAAGAGCCCAGAGCUCGUCGCUGGGGAAAGGCUGCGUAUGGCGUUGUGAAGGGAGAGGUGGAGGAGGGCUUUGAGCAGCACUGUGCAGGAAUGAUCGGCUGGCAGGAGCUGGGCAGCGGUACUGCAGCUCGUCUGGCAGCUUUGCAGCUGAGUUUGGAAGUAGAAGAUGUGGCUGUGAAAGAAGAAGUAACCGCAAUCGUAACAGCCAUAGAGCUGGAGGGGGCCUUUAAAGGCCAUCUCGUCCAACAGCCCCGCAACAAAGAGGGACACCGCAGCUCCAGCAGGCUGUCCAGGGCCUGGUCCAGCCUGGCCCUCAAAGGCUCCCCGUGCUCCAACCCCGCAUUUCCUGCCGAGCCCUGCCGUAAGGAACUCCUGGCACCCACGGAAAAGCC
Molecule: long non-coding RNA, 400 nt
Filed under: Gallus gallus (chicken)
Lineage: Eukaryota; Metazoa; Chordata; Aves; Galliformes; Phasianidae
Description: lncRNA (ENSGALG00010000543.1)
Source: RNAcentral